Molecule: ribosomal RNA, 1415 nt
Filed under: activated sludge metagenome
Description: bacterial LSU rRNA
Rfam family: Bacterial large subunit ribosomal RNA
Source: RNAcentral
GAAUAGAUGGUUGAAGUGCGUAGGUGUUGAUCCAGUAGGCAAAUCCGCUGGUGAACUGAAACAUGAUAGUAUACUGAUCCCUUCGGGGUGAUGUAAUAGUGGCUCCAAGCAGACUUCCAAGAAAAACCUCUAAGCUUCAGGUAUAUACAGCCCGUACCAUAAACCGACACAGGUAGUCGAGGAGAAUAUCCUAAGGCGCUCGAGUGAGUCAUGGCUAAGGAACUAGGCAAAUUAGUCUCGUAACUUCGGGAAAAGAGACCCCUGCAUUUAUGUGGGGCGCAGAGAAAUGGCCCAGGCGACUGUUUAUCAAAAACACAGGACUCUGCAAAAUCGAAAGAUGAAGUAUAGGGUCUGACACCUGCCCGGUGCUGGAAGGUUAAGGAAGGUGCUUAGCGCAAGCGAAGGUAUUGACUGAAGCCCCAGUAAACGGCGGCCGUAACUAUAACGGUCCUAAGGUAGCGAAAUUCCUUGUCGGGUAAGUUCCGACCUGCACGAAUGGUGUAACGAUCUGGGCGCUGUCUCAGCCACGAGCUCGGUGAAAUUGAAGUAUCGGUGAAGAUGCCGAUUACCCGCAACGGGACGGAAAGACCCCGUGAACCUUUACUAUAGCUUCACAUUGAGCUUGGAUGCAGGAUGUGUAGGAUAGGUGGGAGACUAUGAGUAUGGUACGCCAGUACUGUAGGAGUCGUUGUUGAAAUACCACCCUUCCUGUAUUUAGGUUCUAAUCCGGGAUGACCCGGGGACAGUGUGUGGUGGGUAGUUUGACUGGGGUGGUCGCCUCCAAAAGAGUAACGGAGGCUUGCAAAGGUGCACUCAGCAUGGUCGGUAAUCAUGCGUAGAGCGUAUUAGUAUAAGUGUGCUUGACUGAGAGACCGACGGGUCGAACAGGAACGAAAGUUGGCUAAAGUGAUCCGGUGUUUCCGCAUGGAAGGGACAUCGCUCAAAGGAUAAAAGGUACUCCGGGGAUAACAGGCUGAUCCCACCCAAGAGCUCAUAUCGACGGUAGGGUUUGGCACCUCGAUGUCGGCUCGUCACAUCCUGGGGCUGGAGAAGGUCCCAAGGGUUGGGCUGUUCGCCCAUUAAAGUGGCACGCGAGCUGGGUUCAGAACGUCGCAAGACAGUUCGGUCCCUAUCUGUUGUGGGCGCAGGAAUAUUGAAGGGAGCUGAUUCUAGUACGAGAGGACCGAAUUGGACGUACCGCUAGUGUACCGGUUGUGGCGCCAGCUGCACCGCCGGGUAGCUAUGUACGGCACGGAUAAGCGCUGAAAGCAUCUAAGCGCGAAGCCAGCCCUAAGAUGAGUAUUCCAGCACGUAAGUGUAAAGGACCCUGGGAGACGACCAGGUUGAUAGGUUACAGGUGGAAGUGCAGUAAUGUGCGUAGCCGAGUAAUACUAAUUGUCCGACAGCUUCCUUUU